This 78-nucleotide ribosomal RNA is filed under the name uncultured bacterium. RNAcentral's name for it is "partial 16S ribosomal RNA". The record is from RNAcentral.
AAUUGGGAAACGACCGGGGUGUACUAAAGGUCGGUAACCGUAAGGAGCCGACCUAGGGUAAAACUGGUGACUGGGGCU